This 524-nucleotide ribosomal RNA is filed under the name uncultured bacterium. RNAcentral describes it as "partial 16S ribosomal RNA". It matches the Rfam family "Bacterial small subunit ribosomal RNA", at positions 28 to 523 of the family's 1533-position model. The record is from RNAcentral.
GACGAACGCUGGCGGCGUGCCUAAUACAUGCAAGUCGAACGAAGCUGUUUUAACUGGUGCUUGCACCGACUUAAACAACUGAGUGGCGAACGGGUGAGUAACACGUGGGUAACCUGCCCCAAAGCGGGGGAUAACAUUUGGAAACAGAUGCUAAUACCGCAUAACCACAGAAACCACAUGGUUUCUGUGUCAAAGAUGGUUUCGGCUAUCACUUUGGGAUGGACCCGCGGCGUAUUAGCUAGUUGGUAAGGUAAUGGCUUACCAAGGCAAUGAUACGUAGCCGAACUGAGAGGUUGAUCGGCCACAUUGGGACUGAGACACGGCCCAAACUCCGACGGGAGGCAGCAGUAGGGAAUCUUCCACAAUGGACGAAAGUCUGAUGGAGCAACGCCGCGUGAGUGAGGAAGGUUUUCGGAUCGUAAAACUCUGUUGUCAGAGAAGAACGUGUGCGAGAGUAACUGCUCGUGCAGUGACGGUAUCUGGCCAGAAAGCCACGGCUAACUACGUGCCAGCCGCCGCAGUAA